Herpailurus yagouaroundi (jaguarundi) is the source of this 480-nucleotide long non-coding RNA. RefSeq lists it as uncharacterized. The transcript is spliced from 2 exons. Lineage: Eukaryota; Metazoa; Chordata; Mammalia; Carnivora; Felidae. The record is from RefSeq and is a predicted model, not a curated record.
CAUCACGUGACCAACGUCAUCCUCUCCCCAACAACAUCCUUAUUUUCAGUCUUGGGAAAUCGAGUGGAAGACGGGUCGUGGCCGCGCUGGACGCCUUGGAAAAGGAAUACCUGCCUCCCCACCUCGCUCCCGGGCGUCACAGACAAGUGAUGGAAAGGAUAAGACAAACCGUGAGGAAUUUCCGGGACCUGCCAUAUUUAGAGGAUACCUUUAUGGGGGUUAUCGGUGAGGGCAGGGUAGAGCGUGGGAAUCCAGGGUGGAGGGAAAGCAGGGGUCUGGUGCUAGGAUUGCGGGGGGCGGGGGAGGGAUGGGACGCAAUGGCUGGAGGCAGAGUCGGCUGGGUUCUUGAAUGGAGAAGACUGAGAUGCCCAUUCCAGGCCUUCCCCUGGGCAAAGGAAUACACUAUUUCCCUAGUCCUUACCUUGCAAUUUUGUUAAAAAAAAAAAAAAAAAGAAACAAACAAAAAACAAAAACAACAAA